UAAAAGAUAAGCUAAAUAUAAGCUUUUAGAUUCAUACUCUAACUAUAGAUUAUUCUUCUUUUUA
Molecule: transfer RNA, 64 nt
Filed under: Aulacus sinensis
Lineage: Eukaryota; Metazoa; Arthropoda; Insecta; Hymenoptera; Aulacidae
Description: tRNA-Met
Source: RNAcentral